UAGGGAAUCUUCCGCAAUGGGCGAAAGCCUGACGGAGCAACGCCGCGUGAGUGAUGAAGGUCUUCGGAUCGUAAAACUCUGUUAUUAGGGAAGAACCAAUGUGUAAGUAACUAUGCACGUCUUGACGGUACCUAAUCAGAAAGCCACGGCUAACUACGUGCCAGCAGCCGCGGUAAUACGUAGGUCCCGAGCGUUGUCCGGAUUUAUUGGGCGUAAAGCGAGCGCAGGCGGUUAGAAAAGUAUGAAGUGAAAGGCGGUGGCUCAACCAUUGUAGGCUUUGGAAACUGUUUAACUUGAGUGCAUAAGGGGAGAGUGGAAUUCCAUGUGUAGCGGUGAAAUGCGUAGAUAUAUGGAGGAACACCGGUGGCGAAAGCGGCUCUCUGGUCUGUAACUGACGCUGAGGCUCGAAAGCGUGGGGUGCUAACAGG
RNAcentral lists this ribosomal RNA (428 nucleotides) under Bacteroidota bacterium. RNAcentral's name for it is "Bacteroidetes bacterium partial 16S ribosomal RNA". It matches the Rfam family "Bacterial small subunit ribosomal RNA", at positions 355 to 776 of the family's 1533-position model. Lineage: Bacteria; Pseudomonadati; Bacteroidota. The record is from RNAcentral.